GGCGCAAGCSUGAUCCAGCCAUGCCGCGUGAGUGAAGAAGGCCUUCGGGUUGUAAAGCUCUUUCAGUUGGGAAGAAACGAUUACAWCUAAUAAUUGUAAUUAAUGACGGUACCGACAGAAGAAGCACCGGCUAACUACGUGCCAGCASCCGCGGUAAUACGUAGGGUGCGAGCGUUAAUCKGAAUUACUGGGCGUAAAGGGUGCGCAGGCGGUUUUGUAAGUCAGAUGUGAAAUCCCCGGGCUUAACCUGGGAAUGGCGUUUGAAACUGCAAGGCUAGAGUGUAGCAGAGGGGAGUGGAAUUCCGCGUGUAGCAGUGAAAUGYGUAGAUAUGCGGAGGAACACCGAUGGCGAAGGCAGCUCCCUGGGCUAACACUGACGCUCAUGCACGAAAGCGUGGGGAGCAAACAGGAUUAGAUACCCUGGUAGUCCACGCCCUAAACGAUGUCAACUAGUUGUCGGGCCUAAUUGAGGGUUUGGUAACGUAGCUAACGCGUGAAGUGACCGCCU
Molecule: ribosomal RNA, 508 nt
Filed under: uncultured bacterium
Lineage: Bacteria
Description: bacterial SSU rRNA
Rfam family: Bacterial small subunit ribosomal RNA
Source: RNAcentral